UACGUAGGGCGCAAGCGUUGUCCGGAAUUAUUGGGCGUAAAGAGCUCGUAGGCGGUUUGUCGCGUCUGUCGUGAAAGCCCACGGCUUAACCGUGGGUCUGCGGUGGAUACGGGCAGACUAGAGGCAGGUAGGGGAGAAUGGAAUUCCCGGUGUAGCGGUGAAAUGCGCAGAUAUCGGGAGGAACACCGGUGGCGAAGGCGGCUUGCUGGGCCUUACCUGACGCUGAGGAGCGAAAGCGUGGGGAGCGAACAGG
RNAcentral lists this ribosomal RNA (253 nucleotides) under uncultured bacterium. RNAcentral's name for it is "partial 16S ribosomal RNA". It matches the Rfam family "Bacterial small subunit ribosomal RNA", at positions 524 to 776 of the family's 1533-position model. The record is from RNAcentral.